GACGAACGCUGGCGGCGUGCUUAACACAUGCAAGUCGAACGGUGAAGGGACCGGUUUUUGCUGGUUCUGGAUGAGUGGCGAACGGGUGAGUCACACGUGAGUAACCUGCCCCCUUCUUCUGGAUAACCGCAUGAAAGUGUGGCUAAUACGGGAUAUUCUGCGCCUGCUGCAUGGUGGGUGUGGGAAAGAUAUUGUUUCGGUGGGGGAUGGGCUCGCGGCCUAUCAGCUUGUUGGUGGGGUGAUGGCCUACCAAGGCGGUGACGGGUAGCCGGCCUGAGAGGGUGGACGGUCACACUGGGACUGAGACACGGCCCAGACUCCUACGGGAGGCAGCAGUGGGGAAUAUGGCACAAUGGGCGCAAGCCUGAUGCAGCGACGCCGCGUGAGGGAUGGAGGCCUUCGGGUUGUAAACCUCUUUCGCCAGUGAAGCAGGCCUGUCCCUUUUGUGGGUGGGUUGACGGUAGCUGGAGAAGAAGCGCCGGCUAACUACGUG
Molecule: ribosomal RNA, 493 nt
Filed under: uncultured bacterium
Lineage: Bacteria
Description: partial 16S ribosomal RNA
Rfam family: Bacterial small subunit ribosomal RNA
Source: RNAcentral